Molecule: ribosomal RNA, 212 nt
Filed under: uncultured bacterium
Lineage: Bacteria
Description: partial 16S ribosomal RNA
Rfam family: Bacterial small subunit ribosomal RNA
Source: RNAcentral
CAGUUCAGAUUGCAGGCUGCAACUCGCCUGCAUGAAGUCGGAAUUGCUAGUAAUCGCAGAUCAGCAUGCUGCGGUGAAUACGUUCCCGGGCCUUGUACACACCGCCCGUCACACCAUGGGAGUCGGUAACACCCGAAGUCGGUAGCCUAACCGUAAGGAGGGCGCCGCCGAAGGUGGGAUUGAUGACUGGGGUGAAGUCGUAACAAGGUAAC